ACCCCGAUCCCAAGCACCAUGGAGCCGACGAUUUGGAUCAAGACCUACAUCCCAAGCACCAAGGUGCCUGGUUGAUAUGGAUCGCGAUCCCGAUCUGGAGCUCCAGGGCGCCGAGGAUUUCGAUCACGAUCCCGAUCUGAAGCACCGAGUAGCCGAGGAUAUGGAUCAAGACCCCGGUCCGAAGCGACAAGGAGGCAAGGAUUUGGAUCACCACUCCGAUCAAAGGCACCAAGGCGUCGAGGGACUGGAUCGAGAUCCCGAUCCCAAUCAUGAAGUUGGCUAUGUAAUUUCCUGUUUUCCACACCGUUCAGGGCAUUUUGGUGGUCGCAUCGGCUUUUAGUUGCUUGCUUGGUGUUAGUGCCAAGGGAGUGGUUGGAAGCUAGGUCGUCCUCUGGAAUGCUUGUUGUAAAGGUGUAUGAGUUGUGUUUGGCUUGUUACGGGUGUUUGUUGGCUGCUUGUGCAGGAACUUUCAUGCGUCCAAGCCUCUUCAGUUGUGCUACAAGGCCUUGUUUGUCUUGUGCAUACGGUGGGUUUCCUGUGUUGCAUACCUAAUCAAGGGCGUCGUAUGGCUUGAUCGAAGUAAAUAUUCGUAAUGCGCCGCUUGUGGCGUUGCACGAACCUCGAAGUGGUCUCUGUGGCCCAUGUUGUCUUUGCUCACGUAUGGAUGGCAUGGCCCUCGGAGCGUCGCUUGGUCUCUUGGAUACGGAACCUGAUGAUGAGGGCGGUAGGGUCUUGGAUGAUUCUGCCUUCGC
This 752-nucleotide unclassified non-coding RNA is filed under the name Tolpis laciniata. RNAcentral describes it as "partial external transcribed spacer". Lineage: Eukaryota; Viridiplantae; Streptophyta; Magnoliopsida; Asterales; Asteraceae. The record is from RNAcentral.